UUACAGCCAUAUCAUGUUGAAAGGCCGGUUUUCCUACGAUCACCGGAGAUAAGCAACAUCGAGUCUGGUCAGUACUAAGAUGUGUGACCUUUUGGGAACACCAGGUGCUGUAAG
This is a non-coding RNA of Acanthosepion pharaonis, 114 nucleotides long. The record is from the annotation of a GenBank genome assembly. NCBI's taxonomy places the organism in Eukaryota, Metazoa, Mollusca, Cephalopoda, Sepiida, Sepiidae.